GUGGUAGGCAGCCGGGGCUGUGGCGUCUCGCCUCGCGACCACCUGCGGCGGACGGGCGCUGGGCCGCAUAUGCAAUAGACUUACUCCUCGAUUUAUCUAUAUUUACUGACUGUUCCACAGUUAUACCAAGAAAUGUUUACACAGAUGAUGAUAAGCAUAUGUAGAGAUGCAACGUUUUCACAGACCAGAAUAACCAGCUCCAGGCUGCAGUUCUCUACACGAAGAUAAAGUUUGUUGGGAAACUCCUGACUGCGGCGACCUGAGCCCAGAGGAGCAGCCGGGGGCGGUGGGCAGAGCCGGGUGUGGACAAGCGGGUGGGUCCUGCACCUGGGUGGGGGAAGCGGCAGGCUCCAGGGUCAAGUUGAGGUUGUGCUAGCCCUGGCUUCCAGACCUCAGGCGGCCCACUCUGCCCUCGGCCUGUUUCCUCUCUUGUAAAGUGGGGAGUAAAAGACCAUCACAAGCCAGGGAUGAAGUGGCACAAACUGUGAUCUCAGCCACUCUGGAGGCUGGGUCGUAGGGGUGGAGGGCUCACUUGUGUCUCAGAGCUGGAGCUGUGGUGUGCGAGGCCCGCACCUGUAAAUGGCCACUGCACUCCGGCCUGGGCAACACUGAGACCCUGGCUCUGAAAAACAACAAAACUUAAAAGAUGAACACAGAUGAAGUAUGGGAGCCUGGUAUGUGGUAAGCACUCCACAGGUGUCAGCCGCCAGCCCGCAGUUCAGGACAGGUCAGGGGGAGACCUGCAGUCUGCGACAGGCUGCCGGCUUCCAUCACUGCCUGAUGGAAAACAAGCCUGUCUUUGGGGCCAACCAGCUAACAAGUGAGCCCUUCACCCCAUCUGAAGGCGAAGCACCCAAAGGGGCAACCAUGGACCACUAAAUAAAAAUCAAGACUCCUGGGACGCCUUCUCCGGACACAUUCUUAGUAAAGAGAUACGUGGAUGAGGACGUUGUGUGUAUUUCUGUGUAACAGGCCACCCCAAACCUCAGAGGGUGGAAACCUCUCUUCACUGCUCAUGACCCUGUGGGCCUGCAGCUUGAGCCAGUUCAACUGGGACAGCUUGCCUCGGCUCCAUGGGGUGUCUGCUGGACCCACUUAUGGGCAGGGGCCCCCCAGCAGAUCCGGGCCACGUGUCACCCACCCACCGCAGGCUGGUCAGGCCUCCCUCCCAUGGUGGCUGGGCUCCAUCGGCAGCAAGAGAAAGCAAAUCUCUAUGGUGCUUCCCUCCAUCUCCCCAGGAGAAGCAGGUGAGAUGGCCAGGGCCUGAGUGGAUGUGAGCGACUGUGCAGGGGACAGGCACGGGAAGCAUGGUUCAUCAGGACGGUCACUGCAACAGUCUUCCACAGGCCUUCGCUGAGAUGCAGAGCAUAGGAGAGCAGAUGGCGGCCAAGGCCGGGACCCUCUGCUGCUCCCACGGGCCUCUCAGGCAGUUCUGCAGGACCAGCCAGCAGCCUCUGAUUCUCCCUUCCUAUUCCAUGGCCUCAGAUGCCAUCCUUUCCACAGAGACAGUUUGUAUCGUGACACUCUCCCUGACUUGGAAGAAUGGCACUCAGAACAUUCCCCUUGGUGCUGAUGUCGGGGUGAAAGCAGUUUCCAGUCGCCUGGGGCCAGGACACGGCAUUCCCAGCUGUUGUGGAGCAUGAAGCACCAGGAUGCCCAUUUGGGUGCCUGUUGAGAUCAGGCUCUUUGAGAAGGAAUCCUGUGGUCGCCUGAGGAGGCCCGAAGAAAUUUCGAGGACAUCUCAGCCAUCCAUCCCCUGUUCACUGUGGAGGUCGAACACCAAGGUUCCUGGAGGGGGACCCUGGGUCUCCACAGAAGUGCUGGCAACCAUCUACUUCCCGGCCUUCCAUGCCUGCCCCACCUCCGUUCUGUUGUUUACCGUCUCCUUUGUGGGAAUUAUGGAAUAAACGAUCACUUUGGUGUCCUGGAAAAUAAACCUGAUGCUGGAGGGCUUGAGUGUAGGAAUCCCGCUGGCCUUCCUCUGUCUGCCCCAUGAGUUAGGCUUUGCAUAAGCAUGUGAGACAUCAACCGCUAUGAAAUGUGGUCUACACAGCACCAAAAAAUCCAUUUCACCACAUUCUCCCUUCAGUGCAGUUAAAUGGCAUGACCUUGUGACUGCCCCCCACGAGAAGAAUUAAAAAUUACACCGGCCCUGCCAAAGCCUACAGGACACAGUGGCACAAAAUGAUUUCCAUGAUCUUAGGAUAUAGACCCAGGCCGACUCGACAGAUUAAGUGGAUUUCAAACUGUGGUCUCAAGCCUUCUGGGAACUGCCAGAAAGGAGGGGAAGGUGCCGAGUGGCCCAGCUGCCCAGCCUGUUCACACACUGGGCUUUCCAAAAGGAGGAGAAGGCGCCAGCCUCAGAGUGGCCCAGCUGCCCAGCCUCUUCACACACUGGGCUUUCAGUUGAAGAGAGUGUUCAAAGCUUACACAUGUAAAUGCCACUGAUCUGUAAACCCCCUUCCUGUCAUGCCCAGGGACUGGCAGACUGUGGCUAGAAGGGUGGGACCAGAGGGGUGGGUCACGUGACCUGCGCACGGGUGUGCUGGCCUCCCUGGGCCUCGGUGGCCAGGACAGCCUCCCUUUCCCUUUCCAGCCACACAGGGCAAUCCGUGUGGAUUUCUGUCUCCCCAGUUACAGAGUGUGCUGCCAACCUGCUGUGCUGAGACUGGCCUGGUCUUGGUCCUGGUGUCCUAGGGCUGAUGACUGACCACAGCCUUUGUGCUUUUGAAGCCCAUUUGACUAUAGUCCUUGUGUACAACUGAAAAUGAAACUUUAAACAAC
RNAcentral lists this long non-coding RNA (2784 nucleotides) under Macaca fascicularis (crab-eating macaque). RNAcentral's name for it is "lncRNA (ENSMFAG00000063535.1)". Lineage: Eukaryota; Metazoa; Chordata; Mammalia; Primates; Cercopithecidae. The record is from RNAcentral.